Molecule: ribosomal RNA, 415 nt
Filed under: uncultured bacterium
Lineage: Bacteria
Description: bacterial SSU rRNA
Rfam family: Bacterial small subunit ribosomal RNA
Source: RNAcentral
AGCGGCGGAUGGGUGAGUAACGCGUGGGACCUGCCCUAAAGUUCGGGAUAACAGCUCGAAAGGGUUGCCUAAUACCGGAUGUGACCGAAAGGUUAAAGGUAGCAAUAUCGGCUUUAGGAUGGGUCCGCGUCCCAUUAGCUAGUUGGUGGGGUAAUGGCCUACCAAGGCUGCGAUGGGUAGCCGGCCUGAGAGGGUGGACGGCCACACUGGGACUGAGACACGGCCCAGACUCCUACGGGAGGCAGCAGUAGGGAAUCUUCCGCAAUGGACGAAAGUCUGACGGAGCCGACGCCGCGUGGGGGAAGAAGGUCCUUCGGGUUGUAAACCUCUGUCCUCAGGGACGAAGAGGGUGUAGAGAUGCACCGAAGACGGUACCUGAGGAGGAAGCCCCGGCUAACUACGUGCCAGCCGCAGC